Molecule: transfer RNA, 73 nt
Filed under: bacterium
Lineage: Bacteria
Also listed under: 1 other name
Description: tRNA-Val
Rfam family: tRNA
About the family: Transfer RNA (tRNA) molecules are approximately 80 nucleotides in length.
Source: RNAcentral
GAGCCCUUAGCUCAGUUGGUAGAGCGUUCGAUUCACAUUCGAAAGGUCAAUGGUUCAAGUCCAUUAGGGCUCA